UACGUAGGGUGCGAGCGUUAAUCGGAAUUACUGGGCGUAAAGCGCACGUAGGCGGCUUUCUAAGUCAGGUGUGAAAUCCUGGAGCUCAACUCCAGAACUGCCUUUGAUACUGGAGAGCUUGAGUCCGGAAGAGGUGAGUGGAACUCCGAGUGUAGAGGUGAAAUUCGUAGAUAUUCGGAAGAACACCAGUGGCGAAGGCGGCUCACUGGUCCGGUACUGACGCUGAGGUGCGAAAGCGUGGGGAGCAAACAGG
RNAcentral lists this ribosomal RNA (253 nucleotides) under uncultured bacterium. RNAcentral describes it as "partial 16S ribosomal RNA". It matches the Rfam family "Bacterial small subunit ribosomal RNA", at positions 524 to 776 of the family's 1533-position model. The record is from RNAcentral.